CAAUUUAAACAACGAAGAGUUUGAUCCUGGCUCAGGAUGAACGCUAGCGACAGGCUUAACACAUGCAAGUCGAGGGGCAGCGGGGUGUAGCAAUACCCGCCGGCGACCGGCGCACGGGUGAGUAACGCGUAUGCAACUUGCCUAUCAGAGGGGGAUAACCCGGCGAAAGUCGGACUAAUACCGCAUGAAGCAGGGG
RNAcentral lists this ribosomal RNA (196 nucleotides) under Parabacteroides distasonis. RNAcentral's name for it is "partial 16S ribosomal RNA". It matches the Rfam family "Bacterial small subunit ribosomal RNA", at positions 1 to 184 of the family's 1533-position model. The record is from RNAcentral. Lineage: Bacteria; Pseudomonadati; Bacteroidota; Bacteroidia; Bacteroidales; Tannerellaceae.